This 2157-nucleotide ribosomal RNA is filed under the name Triticum aestivum (bread wheat). Its description in RNAcentral is "partial small subunit ribosomal RNA". Lineage: Eukaryota; Viridiplantae; Streptophyta; Magnoliopsida; Poales; Poaceae. The record is from RNAcentral.
AUGGAGCACUAUCAUAUUGCCAACAAGAUGUUUAAUAGUGAGGAUGAAGGUUAUACAUUCUAUAACAAAUAUGGUCUUGAGAAAGGUUUUAGUGUCCGGAGAAGCUAUGUCGAGUGGGAUGGAUCCAACUGCCAUAUAAUUUUAAGGAAAUUUGUGUGUAGUCGUGAAGGGGUUCGUGAAGAGAAGCACAUGAAGAGGAAGAUGGAAGAUAGAAAGAGGAGGCCACGGAGUAUAACUUGUGUAGGGUGUAAAGCUAAAUUGGUGAUUGCAAGACAGGAGGAAACAAGUCAGUGGUUUGUCAAGGAUUUCAUCGAUGAACACAACCAUCCUCUAGCCCCACGGGAUCUGUCGUGUCUUUUGCAUUCACACAGAAGAAUUAGCGAUGAGCAGAAAGCGGACAUUGCAGACAUGGAAAAAUCUGGGAUCAGAAAACACCAUAUUAUGGAUAUUAUGUGCAUGCAAUACGGUGGAUAUGAUGAGGUUGGAUGCAUUAUGAGGGACAUUUACAAUUUCUGCCAUGCUAACAAGCAGGAAACAAUUUCUUCCGGGGAUGCUCAAACGGUGAUCAAUCACAUGGUGGCGAGGCAAGAGCAAGAUUCAGAUUUUUUCUUCAGGUACUUGGUUGAUGAAGCUGGCCAUCUGAAGGGACUGUUCUGGUGUGAUAGUCAAUCCCGACUUGACUACGAGGCUUUCAGAGACGUUAUUGUUUUUGAUAUCACAUACAGAACCAAUAAGUAUAAUCUGCCACUUGUGCCGUUUGUCGGGUUGAAUCACCACCGCAACACCGUUAUUUUUGCAUGUGGUAUCAUUUCACAUGAAACAAGCCAGGCAUACGAGUGGAUGUUACAGACCUUUUCUGAUGCUAUGGGACAGAAGCAUCCUAUAUCUGUGAUCACGGAUGGGGACCUUGCAAUGCAGAGAGCAAUCAGGGUGGUGUGGCCGGACUCAAACCAUAGGCUCUGUAUAUGGCACAUUCAGCAGAACAUUGUACGCCAUCUGCAUGAUGACGCGGUAAAGGAGGAGUUCCGAUCUUUCAUAUAUGAUACAUCUUCCAUUGAAGAGCAUGAGAGAAAAUGGUUACACUUCUUACAACGGAAUAAAGUAACAAGUGAGGACUCCUGGCUGCAUCAGAUGUAGAAGAUGAGAAAACUGUGGUGUGCUCCAUAUCUUGAGGGUCGUUGUUUCCUAGGAUUGAGCAGCAAUCAGCAGAGUGAGAGUUUAAACUCGGUGCUACAUACGCAUCUUGAGGCUAAGAUGGCGUUGUUUCAAAUGCUAGAGCACUAUGAGCGUUGCCUUGCGUCGCGACGCUUGAACGAGGCUCUCCAAGACGUCGAGGCCUUACAGUACGUUCCGUUCACAGAGGAAAAUGCUUCAGUUCUUGAGAAACAUGCCGCGAAAGUUUUCACUCCUGCUGUGUUUAAGUUGGUCUUAUGGAGCAUAGAUGCUGUCAUAAAAUGUGAGAUCAGAGAGGUACUUGAUGCAGCAGAGGUUACCACAUACGUUGUGUCUAAGAAGGAAAGAAUGGAUAAAAAGAUCGAAGUGCGCACGGAGACGAAGGAAGGUAUGCUUCGCAGUAUCAGUUGUUCUUGCCGCAAAUUGGAAUGCGCAGGCACACCAUGUUCCCACAUAUUUUACAUAUUGGGAAUUUUACAAGAAGAAACACUGCCCAGGUGUUGUGUUACCACUAGGUGGACAAUGAGUGCAAAAUGUGCAUUCGCACCGACCAGAAAGAGCGAGAUGUAUGCAUACUCUGCAGCCCUACAAAGGUACCGUAAGCUAAGGAAUUUUAUUCACGCAGCAUGUUUCAAGGCAUGACACUCUGAUGAGGUGUUUCAGCAUCUAAAAAGGGUUUUGGAAGGACAAGAUGUUUGCAAGGGAUCAACAAGUGAACAAGCUGAUAGCAAGGGAUCAACUAAUGCUCAGGGUAACAACAUUAGGUUUGGCCCGUUGAUGCCACAAUCGGCUAACCUUGAUGGUGAAGGUUUCGAAAAGGUUCUGGAUCCCGUGCAUGUGCUAGGCCGAGGUGCUCUGAAGAAAAGGCUACAGGCAAAGAUGAAGAAAACCAGAACAAAGGGUAGAUGUAGCUAUUGUCAUGAGGCAGAUGGUCACAAUCGACGUACAUGCGCCAAAUUGAUAGAGGUACCUAAUAUGCCAUAA